RNAcentral lists this long non-coding RNA (266 nucleotides) under Elaeis guineensis (African oil palm). RNAcentral describes it as "long non-coding RNA (EGUI_LNC061622)". The record is from RNAcentral. Lineage: Eukaryota; Viridiplantae; Streptophyta; Magnoliopsida; Arecales; Arecaceae.
GGGGUUGUCAGAUAAUCUUUCUUGGAGAGAGUAAUUCCAUGGCCUAUCGAAAGAUAGUCUUUCUUGAAAUUCUCUAUAUUGAAUCACUUCAACAUGAUGUCAAUAUAUGUGGAUUGGAAUAAUCCAAACAAUCAUCUAGAUCUAUCCCUAUAAAUCUUCAUCCCUAGGAUAUAGGAUGCUCCUCUCAAGUGUUGGGAAAUGUGUCCCAAAGUCAAUCGUUAGAUGAUUGUGCUCAUCUUGUAAAUUAUAUAUGAAUUUUUAUUAAU